Long non-coding RNA from Pieris napi, 122 nucleotides. RefSeq lists it as uncharacterized. The record is from RefSeq and is a predicted model, not a curated record. The transcript has 2 exons. NCBI's taxonomy places the organism in Eukaryota, Metazoa, Arthropoda, Insecta, Lepidoptera, Pieridae.
ACUACUGGUGUUUUACGGCCAAAAUUAAUAAUGUAUCCUCAAUCUAUGAUUAUAACCAAUCUUGGACUGAUUCAUAUCUAAAGACCGAUCUCCAAUCUGCAUGCCAAUAAACAUUUCUGCUA